AAUCAUUCGACCUUCUCCACCAGAUUUCCCUUCUCCUCUCCUCCAUCAAAUUUCCACCGCCGCCACCUGCCACAAUUCCCUGCAACUCUCACCGCCAAGCCGCCUUCGUCGCGGCGGCCACCACCGAGAUAUGUCACCUCUCUUUUCCCCGUCAGCCCUCCGAUCUGCCGACUCCCCAAAAUUGAUUUGGGGAAAAUCAGAAAUCGCCGGCCGCCGCCACCUGCCACAAUUCCCUGCAACUCUCACCGCCAAGCCGCCUUCGUCGCGCCGCGCCGGUCACUUAUUUGAUUAUUUGAUUAAGUUAUUUUCCUGCGCCAAUUUCCAACGGAUAGAUCCCCAAAUCCUCAUCGCCUCCUUGCGACUUCCGGCGACCACGGCAGCCAUGGCCGCCGAUCUGCCCCUCCCACCACCAGAAAUCGAUCUGCCACCUCCCUUCCCCCAUAUG
This 445-nucleotide long non-coding RNA is filed under the name Salvia miltiorrhiza (redroot sage). Its description in RNAcentral is "long non-coding RNA (SMIL_LNC011243)". The record is from RNAcentral. Lineage: Eukaryota; Viridiplantae; Streptophyta; Magnoliopsida; Lamiales; Lamiaceae.